AACGAACGCUGGCGGCAGGCCUAACACAUGCAAGUCGAGCGAGGACUUCGGUUCUAGCGGCGGACGGGUGAGUAACGCGGGGGAAUGUGCCCUUCUCUACGGAAUAGCCCUGGGAAACUGGGAGUAAUACCGUAUACGCCCUACUGGGGAAAGAUUUAUCGGAGAAGGAUCAGCCCGCGUUGGAUUAGGUAGUUGGUAGGGUAAUGGCCUACCAAGCCGACGAUCCAUAGCUGGUUUGAGAGGAUGAUCAGCCACACUGGGACUGAGACACGGCCCAGACUCCUACGGGAGGCAGCAGUGGGGAAUCUUAGACAAUGGGGGCGACCCUGAUCUAGCCAUGCCGCGUGAGUGAUGAAGGCCUUAGGGUUGUACAGCUCUUUCAGCUGGGAAGAUAAUGACGGUACCAGCAGAAGAAGCCCCGGCUAACUCCGUG
This 433-nucleotide ribosomal RNA is filed under the name uncultured bacterium. RNAcentral describes it as "partial 16S ribosomal RNA". It matches the Rfam family "Bacterial small subunit ribosomal RNA", at positions 29 to 507 of the family's 1533-position model. The record is from RNAcentral.